UGACUAGAUCGAACACUCGCUU
This 22-nucleotide microRNA is filed under the name Tribolium castaneum (red flour beetle). The record is from RNAcentral. Lineage: Eukaryota; Metazoa; Arthropoda; Insecta; Coleoptera; Tenebrionidae.